RNAcentral lists this ribosomal RNA (996 nucleotides) under uncultured bacterium. RNAcentral describes it as "bacterial SSU rRNA". It matches the Rfam family "Bacterial small subunit ribosomal RNA", at positions 356 to 1376 of the family's 1533-position model. The record is from RNAcentral.
GGGGAAUAUUGCACAAUGGGGGAAACUCUGAUGCAGCGACGCCGCGUGAGUGAAGAAGUAUUUCGGUAUGUAAAGCUCUAUCAGCAGGGAAGACAGUGACGGUACCUGACUAAGAAGCUCCGGCUAAAUACGUGCCAGCAGCCGCGGUAAUACGUAUGGAGCAAGCGUUAUCCGGAUUUACUGGGUGUAAAGGGAGUGUAGGUGGUAUCACAAGUCAGAAGUGAAAGCCCGGGGCUCAACCCCGGGACUGCUUUUGAAACUGUGGAACUGGAGUGCAGGAGAGGUAAGUGGAAUUCCUAGUGUAGCGGUGAAAUGCGUAGAUAUUAGGAGGAACACCAGUGGCGAAGGCGGCCUGCUGGACGACAACUGACGCUGAGGCGCGAAAGCGUGGGGAGCAAACAGGAUUAGAUACCCUGGUAGUCCACGCUGUAAACGAUGAAUACUAGGUGUGGGGGGACUGACCCCUUCCGUGCCGCAGUUAACACAAUAAGUAAUCCACCUGGGGAGUACGACCGCAAGGUUGAAACUCAAAGGAAUUGACGGGGGCCCGCACAAGCAGUGGAGUAUGUGGUUUAAUUCGAAGCAACGCGAAGAACCUUACCAGGUCUUGACAUCCGAUGCAUAGCGCAGAGAUGCGUGAAGUCCUUCGGGACAUCGAGACAGGUGGUGCAUGGUUGUCGUCAGCUCGUGUCGUGAGAUGUUGGGUUAAGUCCCGCAACGAGCGCAACCCUUAUUGCCAGUUACUACGCAAGAGGACUCUGGCGAGACUGCCGUUGACAAAACGGAGGAAGGUGGGGAUGACGUCAAAUCAUCAUGCCCUUUAUGACCUGGGCUACACACGUACUACAAUGGCGUUUAACAAAGAGAAGCAAGACCGCGAGGUGGAGCAAAACUCAAAAAUAACGUCCCAGUUCGGACUGUAGUCUGCAACCCGACUACACGAAGCUGGAAUCGCUAGUAAUCGCGGAUCAGAAUGCCGCGGUGAAUACGUUCCCG